GAGGAAUAUUGGUCAAUGGACGAAAGUCUGAACCAGCCAAGUAGCGUGCAGGAUGACGGCCCUCCGGGUUGUAAACUGCUUUUAGUUGGGAAUAAAAAAAGGGACGUGUCCCUUAUUGUAUGUACCUUCAGAAAAAGGACCGGCUAAUUCCGUGCCAGCAGCCGCGGUAAUACGGAAGGUCCAGGCGUUAUCCGGAUUUAUUGGGUUUAAAGGGAGCGUAGGCGGAUUGUUAAGUCAGCGGUUAAAGGGUGUGGCUCAACCAUACAUUGCCGUUGAAACUGGCGAUCUUGAGUGCAGACAGGGAUGCCGGAAUUCGUGGUGUAGCGGUGAAAUGCUUAGAUAUCACGAAGAACUCCGAUCGCGAAGGCAGGUGUCCGGGCUGCAACUGACGCUGAGGCUCGAAAGUGUGGGUAUCAAACAGGAUUAGAUACCCUGGUAGUCCACACAGUAAACGAUGUAUACUCGCGGUUUGCGAUAGACAGUAAGCCGCCAAGCGAAAGCAUUAAGUAUACCACCUGGGGAGUACGCCGGCAACGGUG
Molecule: ribosomal RNA, 539 nt
Filed under: uncultured bacterium
Lineage: Bacteria
Description: bacterial SSU rRNA
Rfam family: Bacterial small subunit ribosomal RNA
Source: RNAcentral